GCGCAGGAAGGUCCGAGGCUUGGGGAGCAGCCGUUGGCUCUGGUGCCCCUGGGGGUGGGAGCACGAGUGGGCAAGGAUGAUGGUGAGGCAGAGGAGGCGGCCCCGACCCGGCGAGCUCGAGGGAGCGCCCGGCUGAGAGGCGGGGGGCCGAGGGGCCCGGGGAGCGGGCGCCACCGAGGGCCCUGGAAGCGGCAGGGCUUGGGGAGAGGAGACGCGUGUGUGGAGCGUGGGGACCCCAGCCCAGCUCCCACUUGCAGACCUGGGCCGCGGGCUGCCGGCCGAGUGGCCGGGGGGCCUGGCUGCCCAGGAGGCGGGCCGGGGCCGCGGCCGGGGGCGCGGAGCGGAGUUAGGGUCACCAGGCCGAGCAGAGGUGGGACGGACCGACGCAGAGAGGAAGGGAAGCCACCUGGCCUGAAGAUCCUGUCUCUAAGAUCCCAUUCUGAGAGUUUUGCUCUUCUUGCCCAGGCUGGAGUGCAAUGGCGUGAUGUUGGCUCAACACAACCUCCACUUCCUGGGUUCAAGUGAUUCUCCUGCCUCAGCCUCCUGUGUAGCUGGGAUUACAGGCAUGCUCCACCACGACCGACUAAUUUUGCAUUUUUAGUAGAGACGGGAUUUCUCCAUGUUGUUCAUGUUGGUUUCGAACUCCCAACCUCAGGUGAUCUGCCUGCCUCCGCCUCCCAAAGUGCUGGAUUACAGGUUGUGAGCCACUAUGCCCGGCCUCUCUUAAUCUAUUUCUGAGAGUUCUGUUACAUAUUCUGAUGUUUAAUCUUCAGUUAUAUGUAUUAGAUAUCUUCCACCAAAGUACAGUUUGCCUUUUAAUUUUAUUAGAUUUUCUAUUGCAUGUUGAAAAGUAGGUGAUAUUUUUGUGUCUUAUCUAAGAAAUACUUCCUGCUCUAAGUCCCGAAGAUGUUCUUUUAAGUUUGGCUGUUCAUGUUUAGCAAUUUGAAGUGCCAAAAUUUUGUAAUUAUAUCAUGAAGAAGGGAACUAAUUUUACUUUUUCCUUCUAAAGAACUGGCCAGUUUAGUACUAUUGAAUAGUUUCAUUUUUUCCCCACUGAUCUGAUUAAAAGAAAAUUUCCCGGUAUCUUUUAUGUAUCUAGUUCUACGUUUUGAGGCUCUCUACAGUUUUGCAGCAAAUCUGGCUAUCUGGUAAUGUGUAUUUGCAUCAUGCCUUCUUCCAAAUUUCUUGCUGUUGGUCCUUUGUGCCAUGUGAACUUUUGGAUCUGUUUCUCAGCUUUCAUUAAAAAUACUGUAGGCAAUUUGACUGGAAUUUCUUUGAAUUUAUAGAUGUUCAUGAGAAUCACCAUCCUUAAAAAAUGUAUCCUACCAUUUGUAUAGAGCUUCAUGCUUUCAGGCAUUACUGUUUUCUCUGUAAAGAUUUUAAAUAUAUCAUUAGUUUUGUCGUUGUUAUGAAUGAUACUUAAAAAAUGAAUAUUUUCUACUUUAUUAGUUUUCAAAUAUUCUUUACUGAACACUUUUGCUAAAUUCUUUAUUAGUUUUAAUAGUUCUUAUUGUCGGUUGGAUUUCCUAUAUAGAUUAUUCUUAAUAUAUGUUUUAUUUUAGCAUGGACAAUAUUUUUAUCUCUAGAGAAAUUAAUGCAAUUUCAGAGAAACUGUGUGCCGCAGGAUCAGGAUGGUAGAAGGCAGUUCCACUUAAUUUGGGAAAUACCUAUUUGAAAGUUUAUAUCCAUGUGCAUCCUGAGGAGUGGGGGGUGUCUGUCUCUGUCUGUCUUGGGUUUUUCUUGACACUAGAGUUAGUCUCUGCAAGGGCCUUUAGAAGUUAAAUUCCACCCUCCACCCCCAAGUCUGGUAUAGAUAUUACUGCUACUCUUGGACUUCACUCAAUUUAUUUCUUUUUAGGAGGCGCAGGUCAGAAUGGAGAUGGGCUGCAGACCGGGCAGCUAUUGUCAGCUGCUGGAACUGGCUUCAGGCUCAUGUUUCUGACUUGGAAUAUCAAAUUCGUCAGCAAACAGACAUUUACAAACAGAUACGUGCUAAUAAGGGAUAGGUGUCUGGUGUUUUUUAGUACAGCUGAAAACUAUCAUUAUUGCUUUUCUCCCAUCCCCUCCCACCUCUUUGGUAAUCCCCUCCCCAUAACCCCCUUUUAAACUAUUUCAAGACAAGUGGUUUAAUGACCUGAUAUAGUGGUUUAAUUUGUUUAAGAACCUGAUGGGAUCACACGUGGUGGCUCACUCUGGUAAUCCCAGCACUUUGGGAGGCCAAGGCAGGAGGAUCAUUUGAGCUCAGGAGUUCGAGACCAGCCUGGGCAACAUAGUGAGACCUUGUGUUUACAAAAAAUACAAAAAUUAGCCGAGCAUGAUGGCACGUGCCUGUAGUCCCAGCUACUGAGGAGGCUGAAGUGGGAGGAUCACUUGAGCCCAUGAAGUGGAGGUUGCAGUGAGCCAAGAUUGUGCCACCACACUCCAGCCUGGGCAACUAAGACCUUGUCUCAUUAAAAGGAAAACACUAUUAGAAUAUAAUGGUUAAUUGAACGUGUAUUUAGAACAAAACAGUGUGGGUAUCUGAGUUAACAGGAAACAAGAAAAAUGCUGUAUAAUGCAAGCAAGCCAUUGAUGUAACUGUCAUAUUUGUUAGAUUUAUGGAAAAGUGCCUACUAUGUCUCAGCAGCAUUCUCCAUAGUAGGGUCACAGUAGUGAACAAAAAUCCUACCUUCAUGAAGCUUACAUUCUUGCAAAGUAUUUUUUAUAUUAGCUUGGUGUGGCUGAGCUCUAUCUUUAUCUAGACCCAUGUCUAGAAAAAGUCUGUGGCUACUAAAAAUAAGGGUCAAAAUGCCUUUUUGACCUUAGUACUAGUCAAAGCCUUAAGAAAAUGGCUUUCCUGUGAACAGUAUCCAUUAAUUAAUUAGUAGGCCAAAAGUUAACGGUUGAUCAACUGAUAAAAUGAACAGAAUGAUCAGGGUUUGAAGUGAAAGUUCUGUGGGCUGUCUAAUCAUUUAAACUUUUAUUCCAAAAAUUUCACUGGAGACUUCUACCUUCUUUCCAGAUUGGAGAUACAUAUAUAUAUAUAUAUUUUCCAAACAUUUGAUAGAGCUACUUUAAUUGAGGACACAGUUUUUAUUAUUAAUUUAUUCCCUUAGGGUAGUGUAAAAAUUAAAUCCUGAUUUACUUAUUUAAAAAUUAGCUAAAUCUUGAUUUACUUAUUUAAAAAUUAGCUAGAACAAAACUAAUAAACGUUCUAGAUUUGGUCAAUAUUUUGCUUUCUCAACUCUUCACAAAGGAAAUUUUAAAGUGAGAUUUGUAGAACUUGAACUGGAAUGGUGACUAAGAAUAACUAGGAGGUGACUGGAUAUGCCUGUACUGAGGAGAAAAACACAGUCUUUCUCUAUCAGAGACACCUCUUCAGUGUCUGUUUCUAGGUUUUUAUAGCCAGUAGUUAAGUGGGAAUUUCUAUAUUUGAGAACUAGAGUCUCUUAGUAACAACUGAGAUUAGUACAAUAGUAGUCAUAAGUGUUGCUUCAUCUUUUUAUAUACAUUCAUAAAUAUAUAUAUGUAAGUUUAUAUAUGUGUAUAAGUUAUGUUAUUUUAGUUGCCUGUUAUAAAACUGCCACACUUCAUAGAACUUAAGAUGCUAUUGAUUGUAAGAUGUACCAUUAUUUUAAGUACAACAAAGAAAUUAUUUCCAUUAAACUAGGGCAUAACAGCAAUUGUAAGAUGCAUCUUGUUUUAAAAGUUGUUGACAUGUGGGGAAAGUACCUCUUAGAACUGAAGAAAUACUGUGUAUCAAUUCUCAGGAAACUUUGAAAUUACACAGAAGUAUAAAAGACACACCCUCCCCCCGCCCCCCCAAAACAAAACGAAACAAAACCAACAGCUCAAAAUUAUCUCGCUACCCACAUUAUGGUACAUUUUCCUAGCAUAUGAAUAAUUUGUUUAAACACAGUCAUGUUAUAUAUGUGCCCUGAAUAUUUCCCAGUUGGUUUUUGGAAAACAUUUUUAAUGGUUGCCUGCUAUUGGCUUUCCUCGUUGACUAUUUAAGUUACGUUUAUUAUUAAAAUUAAGUAUGCCAUGAUAAACAUCUUUAUCUUAGUCAAA
Pan troglodytes (chimpanzee) is the source of this 4050-nucleotide long non-coding RNA. RefSeq lists it as uncharacterized. The record is from RefSeq and is a predicted model, not a curated record. The transcript is spliced from 2 exons. NCBI's taxonomy places the organism in Eukaryota, Metazoa, Chordata, Mammalia, Primates, Hominidae.